This 73-nucleotide transfer RNA is filed under the name Camelus bactrianus (Bactrian camel). It matches the Rfam family "tRNA". From Rfam's summary of the family: Transfer RNA (tRNA) molecules are approximately 80 nucleotides in length. The record is from Rfam by way of RNAcentral. Lineage: Eukaryota; Metazoa; Chordata; Mammalia; Artiodactyla; Camelidae. RNAcentral also lists the same sequence under 1 other name.
GUGGGUAUAGCUCAGUGGUAGAGUACCAUGCUUAGUAUGUACAAGGUCCUGGGUUCAAGUCCCAGUUUCUCCA